This is an RNA transcript of Vitis riparia (riverbank grape), 1795 nucleotides long. RefSeq lists it as uncharacterized. NCBI's taxonomy places the organism in Eukaryota, Viridiplantae, Streptophyta, Magnoliopsida, Vitales, Vitaceae. The record is from RefSeq and is a predicted model, not a curated record. The transcript is spliced from 8 exons.
GUUAGUGGGUUUGGUUUUGGGUAUUUGAAUCUGGGCCUUUUGUGUUGAAGGUGAUUGGAGGAGAAAUGUGGGAUAUGGGAGAUGAUAAUGUGAGAGAGAUAUGAGAUGGGUUUUGUCCUUUCAAGGGAAUGACCUUUUCCUUUCUGUGAUUUUGAAAAAAAAAAACCCUGAUCUUUUUUGAUUUGGAGAAGUAGCGGGGUGCCAUUUGGAGGAGAAGGGAGUGUUGAAAGUUGUUGAAUUGAUUGGAAAAUGCCACUAUGCGAGUUUCCACUCUCCAUUUUCUCAAGACUUGUAAAAAAAGUUCAUUCUAGGGUGAAUUUCAGUGCGAUUACCGGUUUUUGGGGAAAUGACGAAAGAAUAGUGAUAUUUUCAGGAAUAAACGACCAGAAUUUACUGCAUGGUUGGCUGAAAUAAAACAGGUGAACCUGGAGAGUCUGCCUAACUGGGAGGAGAAGCAGGUGUUCUAAGAAUUUAUGGAGGACCAUAACACAGCUACCUUUCCUUCCAAAAAAAAAGCAAAAAUCUUUUAUCCCCAUAUUUGCUACUCAUUUUGAUAUGACGACCAGUAUGAUGCACAUGAACAUAUUCUGAAGACCAAAGAUGGAAAGGGAAGUGAAAAAAGGUUCCAAGAAAGCUCUGGAAACUGAACGUACUGUAUUCAAUGAUGAAGAACAACAAUGGUUAGAACUGCUACGAGAACGUGAAAGAUACAAGGAAGAACAAGUGGAGGAAUUAAAACACUCUAUGCAGAGUGGAAUGUUUAGUUUUUACUUCAAUAUUCCUCCAGGCUCCUGCUAUAAUUAUAUCUUGCUUCUGGCCCUUGAGGUCUGGCUCAAUGGUAAAGGGCUGGAGUGGGUUUAUGGGAGGUUCAGGUUUAAGUUCCAAUGUUAACAAGAAACGAAAACUAUAUUUUGCUUGUGAUAAAAGAAUCCACUGGCAAUUAUGAUUUCUCAUCUCUGUUAUUUCAUUUGAACUCCCAGGCACAGGCAAUGAAAGAGCAAGCUCAGCUCAGGGAAGAGAUGGCUUACCAGUACAAAGUUGGCAACUCUGAAGCUGCAGCUGCCAUCCAGAGAAGAUUGGACCCAGAUGUUGCUAUGUAAAAGAGCAGCUGGCCAUAGUCUUGGGAUGGUAAUUCCGUCAUGCUUGGAACACCUUGCAUUAGGAUGUAAUGUUUGUAUGGAUCCCUUCUGUUAGGCUUACUAAGGGGAUCUAUUUGGACUUCUUUCCUCCUAUAUAGAAAAUACAGCAGGGUUCAAACUUAUGUUCUAGGUGCGACUAUUUUGGUGCUCCUUUCCCAGUUUUGUUUGAACUGCUUCCGUGCCACAUGAAAUACUGAUUUCAAUUGCUCCUUCGGGCUUAACCUCUUAUUGGAAGAGAUAGUGUGUCGUAUUUUUUCUGGGUUCCACAGCAUGUUAAUUUGUCAUGACAUGUAACAUUGUUUGGUUGCCAAGAAAAUGAAGGUAAACGGAAGAAAUCGAAGUUCCAUAUAUAUAUGUGUGUAGAAAGACAUGGCAACUGGUGAUGUCCUUGUGAAAUAAAUUCAGCUUGUCCAUCUCUUCACAAGGCGGAUCUGUUUGGCUUGUUAGAACCCCAUCCCAUGUGUGGAAUACCAAUCAUUCUCUUACUUGUCUCUAUUGAUUAUUUGGAUAAUUGUUAGAUUCAUGCUUGAUGGAUUCUUUAUAGGUUGGGGAUUGUUUUAAAAUGUGAUGAAUCUGUCCUAACAUUUGAAUGAGAAAAAAGUACUAUUGUUGUUUGGUUGUGAUAGAAAAUAGGAAGGAAAAGAGAGAUUCAUUCA